This 489-nucleotide ribosomal RNA is filed under the name uncultured bacterium. RNAcentral describes it as "bacterial SSU rRNA". It matches the Rfam family "Bacterial small subunit ribosomal RNA", at positions 29 to 507 of the family's 1533-position model. The record is from RNAcentral.
AUGAACGCUAGCUACAGGCUUAACACAUGCAAGUCGAGGGGCAGCAUGGUCUUAGCUUGCUAAGGCCGAUGGCGACCGGCGCACGGGUGAGUAACACGUAUCCAACCUGCCGUCUACUCUUGGACAGCCUUCUGAAAGGAAGAUUAAUACAAGAUGGCAUCAUGAGUUCACAUGUUCACAUGAUUAAAGGUAUUCCGGUAGACGAUGGGGAUGCGUUCCAUUAGAUAGUAGGCGGGGUAACGGCCCACCUAGUCUUCGAUGGAUAGGGGUUCUGAGAGGAAGGUCCCCCACAUUGGAACUGAGACACGGUCCAAACUCCUACGGGAGGCAGCAGUGAGGAAUAUUGGUCAAUGGACGAGAGUCUGAACCAGCCAAGUAGCGUGCAGGAUGACGGCCCUAUGGGUUGUAAACUGCUUUUAUAAGGGAAUAAAGUGAGUCUCGUGAGACUUUUUGCAUGUACCUUAUGAAUAAGGACCGGCUAAUUCCGUG